AUACUUUGGUAUUACUUUACAGUUUUUCGGUGGCUGUGAACCAGAAGCUGGGUGCUAGAUUUUCAAACUCGACAUCUACAGUAUUGACAUACUACAUUCUGACCCUGUGAAGAUGAGAGGUAAUGGAAGGGGCCUCUUCUUUCUGACCCUGUGAAGGUGAGGGGUAAUGGAAGGGGCCUCUUCUUUCUGACCCUGUGAAGAUGAGAGGUAAUGGAAGGGGCCUCUUCUUUCUGACCCUGUGAAGGUGAGACGUAAUGGAAGGGGCCUCUUCUUUCUGACCCUGUGAAGGUGAGACGUAAUGGAAGGGGCCUCUUCUUUCUGACCAUGUGAAAAUGAUGGGUUAUGGAAUGGGCCUCUUCUUUCUGACCCUGUGAAGGUGAGGGGUUAUGGAAUG
Long non-coding RNA from Oncorhynchus tshawytscha (Chinook salmon), 394 nucleotides. Lineage: Eukaryota; Metazoa; Chordata; Actinopteri; Salmoniformes; Salmonidae. The record is from Ensembl.